This 77-nucleotide transfer RNA is filed under the name Culex quinquefasciatus (southern house mosquito). RNAcentral's name for it is "tRNA-Thr". It matches the Rfam family "tRNA". Rfam says of the family: Transfer RNA (tRNA) molecules are approximately 80 nucleotides in length. The record is from RNAcentral. Lineage: Eukaryota; Metazoa; Arthropoda; Insecta; Diptera; Culicidae.
GUGGCAGUGCGUGGCCGAAUGGUUACGCUAUCCGCUUUGUAAGCGGAUGAUUCUGGGUUCGAUUCCCAUCUGCUACA